Molecule: long non-coding RNA, 2317 nt
Organism: Homo sapiens (human)
Lineage: Eukaryota; Metazoa; Chordata; Mammalia; Primates; Hominidae
Product: long intergenic non-protein coding RNA 1515
Source: Ensembl
AGGACUAGUUACCCUGCCUCUGAAGAAGCAGGCUGAGGUUUUCAAAAGAGUAAGAUGUGCCUGCUUCCCCUUCUGCCAUGAUUGUAAGUUUCCUGAAGCUUCCCCAGACAUGUGGAACUGGAUUUCUACUUUUGCAUCUUCCACACUUUCUCUUGCUGCCACCAUGUAAGAAGCGCCUUUCACCUCCUACCAUGAUUCUGAGGCCUUCCUAGCCAUGUGGAACUAGGCCAAUGCUGGUGAAGAAACUGAACAUUUUAUAACUGGUUAGACAUGGUAUGGAACAGAGGAAAUCCACACUGAAAAAGCUGCUCAGAGGGAGAAGAGAAGACUCAAAAGGCAAAAUUCCAAAGGAAAAUGCUAAUCGGUAAGCAAGAGACUGAAUAGAGGAAAAGAGAUGAGGAAGAACUCCCAGGAAAGCAUUAAGAUUGCCCUGGUGCAGUGAAAUGGAGGGGGUCUGAUAGACGUGCUGGAGUGGAACAUGGAGAAGUAGAGAGCAUCUGUGAACCACCCAGCCACCGCCUGAGUGAAUAGCAUCUGUGCCGAGCACCAGGAAUAGGCACGAGAGCCAAGCCAUUGCUCUAGGACAAACUGAGCUCACUGGGAACCCUAGCAGGAAUCUCUGCGGAAGAGGUUUACUAUCAUCUGCCAUUCUCAUUACUGUUCAAAGAAGCCUCUGACAGAAGCAGAACCCCAACCAACUGAUGGACAGUGGCACAAAGGGGCACUAAAGUUAUAUUAGGAAUGUUUGCAUCUUAUUAUUCAGGCUCCAUCUCGAGCAGAUGGCUCAGCGUCUUCAAAGGGGAUUUAGAGCAUUGCAGAGCAGGAUGGCAGUGCAGCAGCCCAGGUAAAGGAAGAUCUGUGAGAAGUCCAAGUCACACAAGAUCUGUGAAGAACAAAAGUCUACUCAAGUGUUAUUCAUAAUUAUUUAAUGUGCUUGGCUAAAGUAAUGGUUCUAUCAUUGGGAUUGUCCUAGAGAGUCAUGCAUAACAUACACAACUUAAAGAUGAAUUAUAACUCCAUCUCUACUGAAAAGAAAAUACGAAAAUUAGCUGGAUGUGGGGGCGGGCUUCUGUAAUCCCAGCUACUUUGGAGGCUGAGACAGGAGAAUUGCUUGAACCCAGGAGGCAGAGGUUGCAGUGAGCCAAGACCGUGCCAUUGCACUGCAGCCCGGGCAAGAAGAGCGGAACUCAGUCUCAAAAAAAAAAAAAAGAAUUAGAUGACAAUAUUUUUUUUUUUUUUAGACAAAUCCUUGCUCUGUCACCAGGCUGGAGUGCAGUGGCACGAUCUUAGCUCACUGCAACCUCCGCCUCCUGGGUUCAAGCGAUUCCCCUGCCUCAGCCUCCCAAGUAGGUGGGACUACAGGUGUGUACCACCAUACCUGGCUAAUUUUUUGUAUUUUAGUAGAGACAGGGUUUCACCAUGUUGGCCAAGAUGGUCUCGAUCUCCUGACCUCGUGAUCCACCUGCCUCAGCCUCCCAAAGUGUUGGGAUUACAGGCGUGAGCCACCACACCUGGCUAGAUAACAAUCUUUAACCUACUGCAUGGGUGACAGAUGCCUUUGCCGGAGUCUAGUACACUCAAUAAUGGUUCAGAGGCAGUGGUAGUAGUAAUGGGAGCAGACUGGGGAAAAUCCAGACAUCGUUUUUCUCAUCACCACUUCCCAUUAAUAAAAAAAAUUAAAAAAGAAAACCCUGGCAUCUGGCCAGGCCCCUUAUUCUGAAGAAUUAUGCUCAGUUAUAGGCCUUUAACAGAAGUAGAUUGGCUGCUAAAAUUUGAAAAAGUCUCAAGCCCAAUUUAAGACAUUUGGAGUUUAUCUUAGAGGAAUGUCCUUUAAAAAUAUUACAAUCCUGAACAUUUACUAUAUUCUACUACUACGGAAGCCUGUCACCUCUGUGGGUUCUGUUUUAGCACUUAUUGGUUAUGAUCACUAUACACUGGAUAUGUUUCUGUUUUUUCAUCUAUAUGUGAAAGAUUAAAAAUAGUACAACUCCUAUUGUGAUUGCUACUGCUAAAUGGUUUUGUUCACAUAAAGUACUUCGCAGAGUGACAGACCUAUAAAAAUGCUAUUGUUAUUAUUAUUACUAGCUAUUAAAAACAUUCUAUGCUUCUACAAAAGAUGUCUUUUUAACAGUCAGUUAAUUUUAUUCCUGGUGUCAGAGUCCUAACUAAAGUUAGCCAGUCAUUUAUGAAUGUUGUGUUGUCCCUGUGGAUAUUUUAAAAAUUAAUAUGCUAAUUCUAAUUUGUGUAUUUUUAAGAUUCUAUGUGUUUUUCCAAUAUGGUUAGAGUUUUAUAAUGCAAAGUUGCAAUUGUACUCUAU